Molecule: ribosomal RNA, 330 nt
Filed under: uncultured eukaryote
Lineage: Eukaryota
Description: partial 18S ribosomal RNA
Rfam family: Eukaryotic small subunit ribosomal RNA
Source: RNAcentral
CCCUUAGAUGUUCUGGGCUGCACGCGCGCUACACUGAAGCGUUCAACGAGUAUUCACCUUGCCCGGGAGGGUUGGGUAAUCUUUUGAAAACGCUUCGUGAUGGGGAUAGAUUAUUGCAAUUAUUAAUCUUCAACGAGGAAUUCCUAGUAAGCGCGAGUCAUCAGCUCGUGCUGAUUACGUCCCUGCCCUUUGUACACACCGCCCGUCGCUCCUACCGAUUGAAUGGUCCGGUGAAAUGUUCGGACCGCGACAAGGCGGACGGUUCGCUGUCAGCUUUGCUGCGGGAAGUUCAUUAAACCUUAUCAUUUAGAGGAAGGAGAANUCGUAACA